This 907-nucleotide ribosomal RNA is filed under the name Escherichia coli HVH 37 (4-2773848). Its description in RNAcentral is "bacterial SSU rRNA". It matches the Rfam family "Bacterial small subunit ribosomal RNA", at positions 621 to 1528 of the family's 1533-position model. Lineage: Bacteria; Pseudomonadati; Pseudomonadota; Gammaproteobacteria; Enterobacterales; Enterobacteriaceae. The record is from RNAcentral.
CUGCAUCUGAUACUGGCAAGCUUGAGUCUCGUAGAGGGGGGUAGAAUUCCAGGUGUAGCGGUGAAAUGCGUAGAGAUCUGGAGGAAUACCGGUGGCGAAGGCGGCCCCCUGGACGAAGACUGACGCUCAGGUGCGAAAGCGUGGGGAGCAAACAGGAUUAGAUACCCUGGUAGUCCACGCCGUAAACGAUGUCGACUUGGAGGUUGUGCCCUUGAGGCGUGGCUUCCGGAGCUAACGCGUUAAGUCGACCGCCUGGGGAGUACGGCCGCAAGGUUAAAACUCAAAUGAAUUGACGGGGGCCCGCACAAGCGGUGGAGCAUGUGGUUUAAUUCGAUGCAACGCGAAGAACCUUACCUGGUCUUGACAUCCACGGAAGUUUUCAGAGAUGAGAAUGUGCCUUCGGGAACCGUGAGACAGGUGCUGCAUGGCUGUCGUCAGCUCGUGUUGUGAAAUGUUGGGUUAAGUCCCGCAACGAGCGCAACCCUUAUCCUUUGUUGCCAGCGGUCCGGCCGGGAACUCAAAGGAGACUGCCAGUGAUAAACUGGAGGAAGGUGGGGAUGACGUCAAGUCAUCAUGGCCCUUACGACCAGGGCUACACACGUGCUACAAUGGCGCAUACAAAGAGAAGCGAUCUCGCGAGAGCAAGCGGACCUCAUAAAGUGCGUCGUAGUCCGGAUUGGAGUCUGCAACUCGACUCCAUGAAGUCGGAAUCGCUAGUAAUCGUGGAUCAGAAUGCCACGGUGAAUACGUUCCCGGGCCUUGUACACACCGCCCGUCACACCAUGGGAGUGGGUUGCAAAAGAAGUAGGUAGCUUAACCUUCGGGAGGGCGCUUACCACUUUGUGAUUCAUGACUGGGGUGAAGUCGUAACAAGGUAACCGUAGGGGAACCUGCGGUUGGAUCACCU